Molecule: ribosomal RNA, 1543 nt
Filed under: Klebsiella pneumoniae
Lineage: Bacteria; Pseudomonadati; Pseudomonadota; Gammaproteobacteria; Enterobacterales; Enterobacteriaceae
Description: bacterial SSU rRNA
Rfam family: Bacterial small subunit ribosomal RNA
Source: RNAcentral
AAAUUGAAGAGUUUGAUCAUGGCUCAGAUUGAACGCUGGCGGCAGGCCUAACACAUGCAAGUCGAGCGGUAGCACAGAGAGCUUGCUCUCGGGUGACGAGCGGCGGACGGGUGAGUAAUGUCUGGGAAACUGCCUGAUGGAGGGGAUAACUACUGGAAACGGUAGCUAAUACCGCAUAAUGUCGCAAGACCAAAGUGGGGGACCUUCGGGCCUCAUGCCAUCAGAUGUGCCCAGAUGGGAUUAGCUAGUAGGUGGGGUAACGGCUCACCUAGGCGACGAUCCUAGCUGGUCUGAGAGGAUGACCAGCCACACUGGAACUGAGACACGGUCCAGACUCCUACGGGAGGCAGCAGUGGGGAAUAUUGCACAAUGGGCGCAAGCCUGAUGCAGCCAUGCCGCGUGUGUGAAGAAGGCCUUCGGGUUGUAAAGCACUUUCAGCGGGGAGGAAGGCGGUGAGGUUAAUAACCUCAUCGAUUGACGUUACCCGCAGAAGAAGCACCGGCUAACUCCGUGCCAGCAGCCGCGGUAAUACGGAGGGUGCAAGCGUUAAUCGGAAUUACUGGGCGUAAAGCGCACGCAGGCGGUCUGUCAAGUCGGAUGUGAAAUCCCCGGGCUCAACCUGGGAACUGCAUUCGAAACUGGCAGGCUAGAGUCUUGUAGAGGGGUAGAAUUCGUGUAGCGGUGAAAUGCGUAGAGAUCUGGAGGAAUACCGGUGGCGAAGGCGGCCCCCUGGACAAAGACUGACGCUCAGGUGCGAAAGCGUGGGGAGCAAACAGGAUUAGAUACCCUGGUAGUCCACGCCGUAAACGAUGUCGAUUUGGAGGUUGUGCCCUUGAGGCGUGGCUUCCGGAGCUAACGCGUUAAAUCGACCGCCUGGGGAGUACGGCCGCAAGGUUAAAACUCAAAUGAAUUGACGGGGGCCCGCACAAGCGGUGGAGCAUGUGGUUUAAUUCGAUGCAACGCGAAGAACCUUACCUGGUCUUGACAUCCACAGAACUUUCCAGAGAUGGAUUGGUGCCUUCGGGAACUGUGAGACAGGUGCUGCAUGGCUGUCGUCAGCUCGUGUUGUGAAAUGUUGGGUUAAGUCCCGCAACGAGCGCAACCCUUAUCCUUUGUUGCCAGCGGUCCGGCCGGGAACUCAAAGGAGACUGCCAGUGAUAAACUGGAGGAAGGUGGGGAUGACGUCAAGUCAUCAUGGCCCUUACGACCAGGGCUACACACGUGCUACAAUGGCAUAUACAAAGAGAAGCGACCUCGCGAGAGCAAGCGGACCUCAUAAAGUAUGUCGUAGUCCGGAUUGGAGUCUGCAACUCGACUCCAUGAAGUCGGAAUCGCUAGUAAUCGUAGAUCAGAAUGCUACGGUGAAUACGUUCCCGGGCCUUGUACACACCGCCCGUCACACCAUGGGAGUGGGUUGCAAAAGAAGUAGGUAGCUUAACCUUCGGGAGGGCGCUUACCACUUUGUGAUUCAUGACUGGGGUGAAGUCGUAACAAGGUAACCGUAGGGGAACCUGCGGUUGGAUCACCUCCUUACCUUAAAGAA